UGAAGCGGCAACAGCUCAAAUUUGAAAUCUGGCUCCUUUGGCGCCCGAGUUGUAAUUUGUAGAGGAUGCUUCGGGUGAAGCCGCGGUCCAAGUCCCUUGGAACAGGACGUCAUAGAGGGUGAGAACCCCGUACCUGGCCGCCGGUGCCCCCCGCUGUGAAGCUCCUUCGACGAGUCGAGUUGUUUGGGAAUGCAGCUCUAAAUUGGUGGUAAAUUCCAUCUAAAGCUAAAUACCGGCCAGAGACCGAUAGCGCACAAGUAGAGUGAUCGAAAGAUGAAAAGCACUUUGAAAAGAGAGUUAAAAAGUACGUGAAAUUGUUGAAAGGGAAGCGCUUGCGGCCAGACUUGCCCGCGGAUGCUCAGCCUGCCUUUUGGCGGGUGCACUCUUCCGCGGUCAGGCCAGCAUCGGUUUGGGCGGUUGGAUAAAGGCGCUGGGAACGUGGCCCCUCUCGGGGGGUGUUAUAGCCCAGCGUGCAAUGCGACCAGCCCGGACCGAGGUUCGCGCUCUGCUAGGAUGCUGGCGUAAUGGCCGUAAGCGGCCCGUCUUGAAACACGGACCAAGGAGUCUAACAUCUAUGCGAGUGUUUGGGUGUCAAACCCGUGCGCGUAAUGAAAGUGAACGGAGGUGGGAACCUUAGGGUGCACCAUCGACCGAUCCUGAUGUCUUCGGAAGGAUUUGAGUAAGAGCAUAGCUGUUGGGACCCGAAAGAUGGUGAACUAUGCGUGAAUAGGGUGAAGCCAGAGGAAACUCUGGUGGAGGCUCGCAGCGGUUCUGACGUGCAAAU
Molecule: ribosomal RNA, 784 nt
Filed under: Cylindrosympodioides brabeji
Lineage: Eukaryota; Fungi; Ascomycota; Dothideomycetes; Venturiales; Venturiaceae
Description: eukaryotic LSU rRNA
Rfam family: Eukaryotic large subunit ribosomal RNA
Source: RNAcentral